UUCCUCCCUCUCUCUUUCUCUUUACGUUUUUUUUUUUUUUUGCAUCAAUUCUUGAGAAAGGAAGAAAAAAAAAGCUUGCGUUGAUGCUUGGAAACCUUGUGAGGAAGAUCGGAAAAUACGGAGAUAAAGAAAUUUUGAUGAAACUCUGACGUCAAAAGUGGAGGAGCAUUAAAAGAAUCUAUUGAUAUGUUUGAAGUGGUACAAGAAAAUUGAGAAGUGUCAUUGGAAUCGUCAGAUAAGUUAUGUUGGCGUAGCAUAAGUUGCUUGUGUAAUAAAGCAUUGUCGAGGUUAUUAGAGUUUUGAGUUGUGGUGGAAUUGCAACGAUGUCGUAGACGUGACAUAGCGAUGAUUUUAGAUUGGUAAUCGGAAGCAGCUUGAUGCCACUCGUGGAUUCUCAGUACCCAAUCACCCUUAGUUAGAUUAAUGAUCAUCUUAUGAUUUUAUUUAAGAAUUUUAUUUAUCCUCCCUUUCGUAUUGCAAUGUUUUUGUCGCAAUGAAGUUUAUGUAUUUGAAACAUUUGUAAUUUUUUUAGUCAACGGGAAUUGUCUUGUAAGUAAGUCUGUUGUGUCGAAACCAUUUUGUAUAAUGAAACAAUUAUUCUCGUCAUCA
Long non-coding RNA from Cicer arietinum (chickpea), 609 nucleotides. RefSeq lists it as uncharacterized. The record is from RefSeq and is a predicted model, not a curated record. NCBI's taxonomy places the organism in Eukaryota, Viridiplantae, Streptophyta, Magnoliopsida, Fabales, Fabaceae.